This 334-nucleotide ribosomal RNA is filed under the name uncultured Bacteroidota bacterium. RNAcentral describes it as "bacterial SSU rRNA". It matches the Rfam family "Bacterial small subunit ribosomal RNA", at positions 90 to 423 of the family's 1533-position model. The record is from RNAcentral. Lineage: Bacteria; Pseudomonadati; Bacteroidota.
GGCGACCGGCAAACGGGUGCGGAACACGUACGCAACUUACCCAAAACUGGGGCAUAGCCCGGGGAAACCCGGAUUAACUCCCCAUAAGAUCAUGGUCUGGCAUCAGGCAGUGAUUAAAUCUCCGGAGGUUUUGGAUGGGCGUGCGGCCCAUUAGAUAGUUGGUGAGGUAACGGCUCACCAAGUCUGCGAUGGGUAACUGGUGUGAGAGCACGACCAGUCACACGGGCACUGAGACACGGGCCCGACUCCUACGGGAGGCAGCAGUAAGGAAUAUUGGUCAAUGGAGGCAACUCUGAACCAGCCAUGCCGCGUGGAGGAUGAAGGCCCUCUGGGU